Lemur catta (Ring-tailed lemur) is the source of this 2959-nucleotide long non-coding RNA. RefSeq lists it as uncharacterized. The transcript has 4 exons. NCBI's taxonomy places the organism in Eukaryota, Metazoa, Chordata, Mammalia, Primates, Lemuridae. The record is from RefSeq and is a predicted model, not a curated record.
CGGCCCGCCCCUCUCCUCCUCCUGCCUCCCUCCCUCCGGGCGUUGGGCUCCUGCGAUUGACCGAAAGCGGCGGGACCGGCGCUCCCCGCCCGCCCCCAGCCCUCAGGCUCCUCCAAUAGGAGGGCGGCUUUUCAGGAAGGCGGAGGAGGUGGUGGGCAAUCGUCGGACUGACAGGGAGGCUCGGCCAAUGGGAGAGGCGAACCGGAGCUACCGCCUGCGCGUGCCAAUCGCAGGCGGCAACUCUUGGGGUGGGCGGGGCCCCGGGCAGGCGGGGGCCGGUAGCGAAGCGGCGCGGGGCGGAGUCCUCGGGCGCAGCGGCGGUGGCAGCGGCGGCGCCCCUCUGGGUGACUUGGCCGUGAGAAAGUGAAAGGAGCCCGCAGGCGGCGGCGACAGCUGCGCUGGGAGGGGCCUGUUUCCAGGCUCUGAGGCCCCGCGCACUCGGGGGGUGCGGAGCAAGCUUCUCCGUGUGCUCCGUGACAACCGUAAAUACACUUUUAAACGUAGUAGGGCUUGGCUGCUCCAAGUUGCGCAGGUGUCCUCGGGAGGCGGUGCACCCGGGGACACACACGACUCGAGUCCGGCGUUAGGUGGCCCCCUCCCUUGGGCGUGACGACGCCCAGGUCCUCGCCUGCCCGAGCGCAGGAGAGCAGGACUAGGGAACGACCUUGCUGCGUGCUGCGGGUCCGGUCCAGGUGCACAUCGGGGCGCCGGGGACGCGAGCAACUCAAGAGAGUCUCCGGGUCUGGCCGUCGUUCCGGUGUCGUCAUGUCCCCGGCGGGGCACAGCGCCUGCUUUUCUCGCAGAGCCCUCCCGUCCCAUACGUACUUACACUGUUAUAAGACAUCCCCAAGUGACCAGAUUUUAGAGUCUUACAGUAAAAUUGAUACUUGUAGAUGCCUUAGCUAAUUCCUUAAUUGGUACGUAUCUAGCCACAACUUUAAACUGCCGAGGGAAGAUGUAAGACGGUUGUGUCGCUUUUUUCUCCCUUCGAAUAAACUUUUCACUCGGUACCUGUUCUUUGCUACUAAACUGUGUUAAUCACCGCCAAAGCCACGAAGAAAUGUGGAAAUGUUGGCCCUCAAGAAAUUGGAAAUCUUAUUGAGGCAAGAAUUACAAGGGAAAAGGUGGCUUACAAGCGGGGAAAAAAAUGAUUCAAGAAAAUAAAAUCGAAAACUGCAUAGUGAGGAAGUCAGGACACUAGUAAUUGUCUAAUGAAAUGUGUUUAUUCUUUGCUCACCGAAGCCGGACUGGCAAGCCUGUUGCUAACCAACUUGCCAGGAGACCUUUCAGCUGGGCAAAAUGUGCUUUCACUUUGUUCCAGGUCAAAUGGGUAAAGCAAGUUGAAGGUAUUGUGUGAGCAAAUCAGACAUGUUGAAUUGCUAAUGAAGUAAAAACAGGAGCACACAAAAUUCCUGGAACUGAAAUGGCAUUGGAAUAUCCUGUUAGCAACAGUAGUGAUGUUCUCUACUCUUUGCUCAGUUCUUCUAUGCCCUCAGGAUUGAUCACUGGAUCAAGGCUAUCUUAUGGAAUCCAUUUUGAGAACUGAGUUGUGUGGCUGGGAAAUACAGAUUAAAUGGAUAUUUAAGGAAGCAAGUAUGUCACGCCUCAAUUGCUACCACCAUUUUAUCCCUGGUUCCUGGUGACUUUCAGAGGAGACAAGAAAUCACAGACUCUGUACAGACGAAAGGAGCUUCACGGAUUAAUGGACUCGUCCAGGGCAGAUAAAUCUCCGGAUGGAAAGAGAUCGACUUCUCCGCCGGUGUUUUCUCCUGUCAAUCAGCGGGCUCGUCCUGCAGAGUCUUCCCAAGAUGCAGAGACGUUCAGGCUGCCGUGUCCCUCACGCCUGGUCAUUGACAACUCAAUGCUGUCUCCAGUACUGGGAUGUGAGCUCCAUGGGAUCGUUUCUCUUGACACCUCAAGGCCAGAAGGUGGAAAAAAGAAUGGAGACUCCAAUGGGGAUGGGGGAGAGACAGAAAGAGAAAGAGAGAGAGAGAGAGAGAGAGGAAGCCUUUUCUCCCAGGCACUGAUGCCAUGAGGCUUGCUGGAGAUUUACAAGAGAUGACUGGAUAGGGACUGCCACCUGGAAGGCAUGGACGCUCGAACCCUAGAGUCUCAGCAACAGCAAUAUGCUCUUGCUCAACAGGCUGAGAGUUGGCCCCAAGGAGUCAGAGGGCCAUUCCAGGGAUGAGUGUGCGAACACCAGCUGUACGCAGGACUCGUAUAGACCACAAAGUGCUCCAACCAAAAGACUCUGCUGCCGCCCACACCAAGUUUAUGUUUGCAUUUGGUCACCAAGUUCUCCAAUCUCACCCAUCUUGCUUACUCAGAGCACCCCAGAAGCCAGCCAAUAGCAGUUAAAGGCAUAGGCCACCAAGGCCUCCCACUCAUCACGGAGUUUGAGUCCUGUCAUCGCUGCUCUUUCUUAGGGGUUGGACCAGUUGUCCUUCAAACUUCUCACCUAUGAACUCACCACCCCUACAAAACGAUGUAACCCGGAUGGCUGCAGGGGUGCUGCUCUCUCUUAAAACUUAGAUGAUUUAGGCUCAGAGCUCCAAAUCCUCACCCAUCGCUCGCAUCACAGCCGAGCCCUACCCCUGUCAGAUCAUCGUGGCAUCGGCCCCCCAUAGGAGCACGAACCCCACUGCAAACUGCACAUGAGGGAUCCCGGUUGUGCACUCCCCACAAGAAUCCAACGCCUGGUGAUCCGAGGUGGAGCAAGGCAGGCGGCCCCACCUCUGCCUGUCCGUAGACAAACUGUUUUCCACCAAACCGGUCCCUGGGGUCAAAAAGGUUGAAGACCACUGGUCUAGAAGGAAAUUUAGUCGUUUCAACUUGAGCCAAUCAGAAUUGGCCAGAUUUAUAAAUAGAAUAACUCAAUGUGUGACAUAAACUUGAAGGCUUUAGGAGACUGGGCUUUUAAAUUGUGUCAUUUUAAUAAACUGAGUAUUUAAUAUCCCCA